Molecule: ribosomal RNA, 429 nt
Filed under: Pseudomonadota bacterium
Lineage: Bacteria; Pseudomonadati; Pseudomonadota
Description: Proteobacteria bacterium partial 16S ribosomal RNA
Rfam family: Bacterial small subunit ribosomal RNA
Source: RNAcentral
UGGGGACUAUUGGACAAUGGGCGAAAGCCUGAUCCAGCCAUGCCGCGUGUGUGAAGAAGGUCUUCGGAUUGUAAAGCACUUUAAGUUGGGAGGAAGGGCAGUAAGCGAAUACCUUGCUGUUUUGACGUUACCGACAGAAUAAGCACCGGCUAACUCUGUGCCAGCAGCCGCGGUAAUACAGAGGGUGCAAGCGUUAAUCGGAAUUACUGGGCGUAAAGCGCGCGUAGGUGGUUCGUUAAGUUGAAUGUGAAAGCCCCGGGCUCAACCUGGGAACUGCAUCCAAAACUGGCGAGCUAGAGUAGGGCAGAGGGUGGUGGAAUUUCCUGUGUAGCGGUGAAAUGCGUAGAUAUAGGAAGGAACAGCAGUGGCGAAGGCGACCACCUGGGCUCAUACUGACACUGAGGUGCGAAAGCGUGGGGAGCAAACAGG